RNAcentral lists this ribosomal RNA (499 nucleotides) under uncultured bacterium. RNAcentral describes it as "partial 16S ribosomal RNA". It matches the Rfam family "Bacterial small subunit ribosomal RNA", at positions 28 to 507 of the family's 1533-position model. The record is from RNAcentral.
GACGAACGCUGGCGGCGUGCCUAAUACAUGCAAGUCGAGCGGACCGAACAGGAGCUUGCUCUUGUUCGGUUAGCGGCGGACGGGUGAGUAACACGUGGGUAACCUGCCCGUAAGACCGGGAUAACUCCGGGAAACCGGAUCUAAUACCGGAUAACACCUCACACCGCAUUGUCUUUGGUUGAAAGGCGGCUUCGGCUGCCACUUACGCAUGGCCCCGCGGCGCAUUAGCUAGUGGCUGAGGUAACGGCUAACCAAGGCGAGGAUGCGUAACCGCCCUGAGAGGGUGAGAGGCCAAACUGGGCUGGAGACACGGCCCAGAACCCUACGAGAGGGAGCAGUAGGGAAUCCUCCCGAAUGGCAGCAAGUCGGAAGAAGCGACGACGCGUGAGAGAAGAAGGUAGCCGGAUCGUGAAGGUCAGUAGUUAGGGAAGAAGAAGCGUCGUUCGAACACGGCGGCGUGGUGACGGUACCUAACGAGAAAGCUCCGGCUAACUACGUG